Molecule: unclassified non-coding RNA, 444 nt
Filed under: Hoya leytensis
Lineage: Eukaryota; Viridiplantae; Streptophyta; Magnoliopsida; Gentianales; Apocynaceae
Description: sequence contains 18S rRNA gene, ITS1, 5.8S rRNA gene, ITS2 and 28S rRNA gene
Rfam family: 5.8S ribosomal RNA (bases 250-400)
Source: RNAcentral
UGUCGAAUCCUCAACGAAAACCUGGAACACGUUCAAAAAUUCGCGUCGGGCGUCGGGGUAAAACCUGCGCCCCUCGCCACCUGCCCGGCCGAACGGCGACCAUACCGGGCUGUCGGUCGCGUCGGGCAACCAAUCAAAAACCGGCGCGGGAAGCGCCAAGGACUUUACAAAAUGGGAUGCCUUCCUGCGAGAGGGUCCGUUCGCGAUUCCUCGCCGUGGGGCUAGAGGCGCCUCCAAACAAACAUUACACACUCUCGGCAACGGAUAUCUAGGCUCUCGCAUCGAUAAAAAACGUAGCAAACUGCGAUACUUGGUGUGAAUUGCAAAAUCCCGUGAACCAUCAGUCUUUGAACGCAAGUUGCGCCCAAGCCUUAGGCAGGGCACGUCUGCCUGGGCGUCACGCAUCGCGUCGCCCCCCCCCCCCCGCCCCAAAGGGGCUCGGGG